This 27-nucleotide non-coding RNA is filed under the name Rattus norvegicus (Norway rat). Lineage: Eukaryota; Metazoa; Chordata; Mammalia; Rodentia; Muridae. The record is from RNAcentral.
GGAACUGUUCUGUUGCAGGGCCUCCAA